GUUAAUAGGAGGAGCCUCAUCAAUAGGAGGAGCCUCCUGUGGAGGAGCUCCCCGCAGGACGAAGCUGCCAUGACAAAUAAAUAUGUUAGAAAAGAAUCAAAAAGCAGUACUAGGUACUCAACUGCCAUGACAAAUUACUGAUAUUAAUAUGAUAAUAGGCCUAUUGACAAUUAUAUCAUCAAAGUUUGCUAAAUGUAAUCAACUGCCAUCCAACUUUUAUUGUAAUCGGUUUAGCCACUAAAGUUUAUAUUUUCACAAGGCCUAGUCAUCUAAACUGGGCUUGCAACCCACUCUCAUGAAGAAGCUUUAUUUCUUCUGGCAUUUCAUCAAACAGGUACCGCUAAGCCUCAAAAUUUCCACAUUUUGAGUAUAUAUUUAAAAAUGGGUUGGAGGUGAGCAUGUAACUAAAGUUAAUUUAGUGGAUGUAUCAACUCUCAACUUUUGGUAGAUAGGCUUGUGUGUAAAUGUAAGUAUUGGAAUUUAAAGAAAGGGAGAUUGUUUUAAUUAGAAUCGAUCGAUUAAUGAUCACAUAUGUUAACUGCUUCAUGUAUCACCUACUUGGCUACUUGCCUUAGUCAGAGAAUAAUCAAAUUAUGAUAUUUGUUCUUCUUUAAAUGUACUCUCCCAGUUAUCUUCCAGUUAUUUCUUACAGUUUUUUUGUAUUGCGUGACACGUAGAUACUUAUAUAUAAUUUUAUAUAAACUUUUUUUGUUUCUAAAUGUAAUUUAAAUUUAAAUUUUUAUUUAGAAAAAAGAAUUUUAGAAUAUUUUAUGAAAUCAUACUAAUAAAAAGAAUAUUAACUCCCAAGAUUUUACCCUAAAGCUAACACUUUGACCCAUGACUUCUAAAGUAUGGAACAAGCUUCUUCUAAACUAGAUUUCAGAUAAUAACUUCAGCCAUUCAUUUGUUCUGAUUUAAUUAUCAUUUUGGUCCCUCCAUAAAUCAAAUAUUUUAUUAAUAUAAAUAGGGUCUUAAAUAUAUCAUUAUACUAAUGAAUUAUGACACUUCGUUAUUUUGGCUUAUCAUAAUUCAAAUCGACCAAUACUUUCAUGAUGCGAAAACCUGUAAUCCCAUAUUAAAACUCCAGCUAAACCCACUACACUAGUAUAUAUGGAUAUGUAAGAACUUAUUGUCAUCCUCCUAAAUACCACAAAAAAGUGUACCAAUCAUGGACUUAAAUGAUAGAGUUAGGUAUAAUAUAGCUUUGAUAUAUAAUAUUAUUAUUUUUACCGCAAGAGGGUGACAACGAUCAUCCUCACGAAAUCUUGAAAGUCACCAUCUGUGAAAAAAAUAUAAUAAUUAAUUAGUUAAGACAACAAUAAAAUUUUAUUUUCCAAGCCUAUGCGCAUAUUUAUUUCAAUUAAAUAAUUAGAUACAAAAGCUAUGCUAGUCGCUUAAGUUCAGUAGAUUUUGGAAAAAUCAGGGUGUGUGAACAGAUUUGAGACCAACAAAAGAAAGUGAGGGAGAGUGAUUUACCUUAAGAUCAGAGAGAGACAGAGCGAAAGAGCGGGGGAAGAGAGAGAACGCGCUAAAGCAAGAGGGAGAGAGAGAGAGAGAGAGCUAGAGCCGGGGGAGAGAGAUAGAGCGAGAGGGCGGGAGAGAGACAGCGCUAGAGAGAGAGAGAGCGAGAAGGAAGAGAAAGAUGAUUGAUAGUGACGGGGUGCAGGGAGGGAGCGGGAGAGAGACGGGAAGGGAGGGAGGAGGUUGAGUGGAUGAAGACUUACAGACUUACCCA
This 1735-nucleotide long non-coding RNA is filed under the name Daucus carota (carrot). Its description in RNAcentral is "long non-coding RNA (DCAR_LNC000073)". Lineage: Eukaryota; Viridiplantae; Streptophyta; Magnoliopsida; Apiales; Apiaceae. The record is from RNAcentral.